Advenella mimigardefordensis DPN7 is the source of this 73-nucleotide transfer RNA. It matches the Rfam family "tRNA". Rfam says of the family: Transfer RNA (tRNA) molecules are approximately 80 nucleotides in length. Their secondary structure includes four short double-helical elements and three loops (D, anti-codon, and T loops). Lineage: Bacteria; Pseudomonadati; Pseudomonadota; Betaproteobacteria; Burkholderiales; Alcaligenaceae. The record is from Rfam.
GGCCAGGUAGCUCAGUCGGUAGAGCAGAGGAUUGAAAAUCCUUGUGUCGGCAGUUCGAUUCUGCCCCAGGCCA